This is a long non-coding RNA of Diachasma alloeum, 795 nucleotides long. RefSeq lists it as uncharacterized. The transcript is spliced from 4 exons. NCBI's taxonomy places the organism in Eukaryota, Metazoa, Arthropoda, Insecta, Hymenoptera, Braconidae. The record is from RefSeq and is a predicted model, not a curated record.
CAACAAAUGAAGAGAACUGUAAAAAAUUUCGAAGACAAACAAUUCUAGAUAAUCAGAGUAAUUCUGAUAUUUUUAAAUCGGAAUUUUUGGGGUUGACGAGGAGCUUGAGGAUGACAUUCACGUGGUUGGCAUUCACAUUCAUAGAUAAAGGAGUUCGAGGUGGAAAACUAGACUUCACCUGAAAACGAACGUGUAACUCACAUAACAGCUGUCCUGUCACAAAAGUAAAGGCCUGGAGUGAUCCUCAUAUGAAAUCGCAGGCUCUUGUGAGAUCUGCAUUCAAAUUUUGGGAAAUGCUCGAAGCUGAAUGAAUCCCGAAAUUGCGGAGUCCACAUGCGAUAGAAUCCAGAAAUGGACUCAACAUCUGUCUCGGGAAUUGCAAAAUCUCUCUGGCUUUCAAAAAAAUUCCAGGACUAUUGCAGUUCCAAUUUUCUGUUUUUUCGAUUGAGCAUGGUUUCAAUUAUCUCACACCAUCGGAAAUGCCGUAAAAUCCCAACAAAGUUGAAAAUCCCAGAUUUUUCCCUUUUCGUCAUCAAAUUAACUCUUUUUACAAAAAAUAUUCGCAAAAUAAAUGGGGGUCGCUCCAUUUUCCAAAAAAAAACAAAUUUUUUGUAAUUUCAAAGGAUUUCCGAUGGUCUGAGCUAAUCAAUUAUGAAACCCUGCUCAAUGGAUAAAACAGAAAAUUUACGUGGAAACACCCCGAAAACUCAAGAAUAUUUUUCCAGUUCUUCCAAACAACAAAAAUUCGUUAGAAACCCGAAAAUCUAAAAGACUGACUUUUUGUAUGCAAUAAAA